RNAcentral lists this long non-coding RNA (281 nucleotides) under Sorghum bicolor (sorghum). RNAcentral describes it as "long non-coding RNA (SBIC_LNC000458)". Lineage: Eukaryota; Viridiplantae; Streptophyta; Magnoliopsida; Poales; Poaceae. The record is from RNAcentral.
ACCCAGAGAUGAGAUCUUGUUUGAACGCAUGUGUACCUUUAAGGCAUGAAACCACUGCAGAAACUCUUGACUUCAUCUUUGCUCAGGGACGAGCAAAGGUUAAGCUUGGAGGAGCUUGUUGACGGUCCUUAAUGCUCACAUUUAACCGUCAACUAAUCAUGGAAUAGGAUCCAAAUGCAACUAACACUCAGACUUAGGGUUUUAUCUGACAGAAUUCCACGAGUUUUGGUGUUUAUCUAUUUCUGCAGGGGGUUAUCAGAAAAUAUGGAAGAAAGGCCCAC